RNAcentral lists this ribosomal RNA (468 nucleotides) under uncultured bacterium. RNAcentral's name for it is "partial 16S ribosomal RNA". It matches the Rfam family "Bacterial small subunit ribosomal RNA", at positions 28 to 507 of the family's 1533-position model. The record is from RNAcentral.
GACGAACGCUGGCGGCGUGCUUAACACAUGCAAGUCGAACGGAAAGGCCCUGCUUUUGUGGGGUGCUCGAGUGGCGAACGGGUGAGUAACACGUGAGUAACCUGCCCUUGACUUUGGGAUAACUUCAGGAAACUGGGGCUAAUACCGGAUAGGAGCUCCUGCUGCAUGUUGGGGGUUGGAAAGUUUCGGCGGUUGGGGAUGGACUCGCGGCUUAUCAGCUUGUUGGUGGGGUAGUGGCUUACCAAGGCUUUGACGGGUAGCCGGACUGAGAGGGUGACCGGCCACAUUGGGACUGAGAUACGGGCCAGACUCCUACGGGAGGCAGCAGUGGGGAAUAUUGCACAAUGGGCGGAAGCCUGAUGCAGCAACGCCGCGUGCGGGAUGACGGCCUUCGGGUUGUAAACCGCUUUCGCCUGUGACGAAGCGUGAGUGACGGUAAUGGGUAAAGAAGCACCGGCUAACUACGUG